GUCGCGCUGUUUCCCGGCCAAUGCACCAAAUGAAAGAUUCUCGAAUUCCCGGCCAACGCACCAAAUGAAAGACCCCCGAGGGGAGACCCUCUCUCAGACACUUAAGUCCCGGGACAGCCGCGUACCCAAGAAGACACUGAGACCAUACAUAAAAUGUAGAAGAUUCCCAGGGCCUUUGCUGAGAGUGCUGUGAAUACCGAUGGCGGCAAAGAGACAUGUUCUGUUCAGAAGCCUUCCUCCAGCAGAGGCAUCAAGGUGUCGCCAGACAACUGGGUCAGGCCCAAGUCCCAGAACAUCCUCUGAGCCUCCACUCCUACCUCCUCCGAGCCACUGUUACCACCUGCUGCAUCCAGGAACUUGUAACCAUCGAAGAUCAGCAGUCUGGCCAGGGAACCAACAACAGAUCAAAGUAAAGAGAGUGCUGAAGUCCAACUUGGGGAACCAGUGAUUCAAAAGUCAGCUACAUCACAGAAAGCGACGCCAGCAUGGAUGACAGCUCAUGAAAGCUUAAAACUCAGAGCUAAUGUCACUAUGUCCCUUUCAGUUUCAGGGACUUCCUGAGUCUCAUCAAGCUUCUAUGCUGGAUGGAGUAUUUUAACUGGAGCAGAUUGCUGUAGGAGACCUGAAGAGGAAUGGAAUUCUUCCUGAGAAGAUAGAGAAUGAGAAAAGCCUGUGGCCCAUAGAUUUCAUGUGAGCACAGGUCCCAGGUCCUUGUCCCUUCUACUCCCCAGAGUUAUCAUCAUACUUCGUGCUCUCA
This 757-nucleotide long non-coding RNA is filed under the name Mus musculus (house mouse). Lineage: Eukaryota; Metazoa; Chordata; Mammalia; Rodentia; Muridae. The record is from RNAcentral.